Molecule: non-coding RNA, 317 nt
Organism: Schizosaccharomyces pombe (fission yeast)
Lineage: Eukaryota; Fungi; Ascomycota; Schizosaccharomycetes; Schizosaccharomycetales; Schizosaccharomycetaceae
Source: the annotation of a GenBank genome assembly
AAACAAACAAUCAGGUAAAGAACGAAUAAAAGAACGAAGCAAGAAAGGCUGGUGGGCUAAACAGUAUUCACACCAACCUGGAGGCAGAUCAACUCGACGAUCCAGACUCAUUUUAAAUAACCAUUCAAACGACAAUAUGGAUUCAAGUUGUUGGGAAGGAUAAUGAAGGUCUAUUAUAUACAAGGAUGAUUUAAUUUUUUGACUAGUAAUUCCACAAAUUCCGCAACGAUAAGUCUGCAUUUCUGGUAUGCAAAAUGAUUUCAGCAAAAAACUAACAGGAAAUGAAGUCCCAUCCUUUUUAUCUUCGUAGUCAGCAA